CAGGGCUUAGCUUCAUACUCUGAAGGCAAAAAAUAAGGAUUUUCUAUGAAAAGGGGGGGGAAAGCAUAGCAAAAUUUUUGAUGUUCUCCCUUGCUGCUCAUACUCUCUCUGCCUUAUCUCUGUUUGUCUUGAGCUUUGCUGUUAUGUUACUGCAGCUCGGACUUCGUUGAUAGAGAGUUGACUUAAAAAUAGAGGCUCCUGGUGGGCUGUGGAUGGGAUUCUCUUUUGCAAGAACUUUGGAGGCUAAAGUCAGAAUCCAAAGCGAUCUUGAAAUGGAGAAGCGGGCUCAAGCAUCGAACAGGGGUGGGCUGUGCCUGUGCUUUUGAGGUGCUCAACCUGUGGUCUCUGGGUGGGACCGUAGCCUGGAUCCCCACAGUGCCCGAGUUGUGUGUAUGAAGAGCAGCUUCAUCCCCCUGCUUGCCUCCCACCAGUGGCGAAGGGGCAACUGGCUGGUGGAAAUUGAUGGGAUUUGCUGGACUUUGUGCUUCUGAUAAUGCUGAGUAAAAGUGAAGAAGAGCUGCUGCCAGAGUUUCAUUUCCCUGCCACAUUUAACUGUUGCAACUGAAUGCAAGCCAGAUUUCCAAGGAGAAGAAGAGCGGUGAGCUCUGUAUUUGCAAGACGGGAGCACACAAAUACAGCAGAGGAGGGCAGUGAUGCAUCACCUGACGGGGGCUCCCCUUCCAGCAAAGAGUGAGCAGGGCAAGUGGACUGAACGUCCGUCCUCUAGGUUUGAAUGGCUGUCCCCUGUGAACUGGCCGUGAAUAAACAGCUUGAGAAUUAGUCAUUCUGUAUGAAAUUCUUCUCCACACAAGAGGCUUAAAUGGGAGCAAAGUGAUGUCCUAGCGUCAGCACUCCUGCCCACAGAAGGGACAAGGUGUUAUCUAAGCACUGCACUGAUGAGCCAGACACCAGGUUGUGUGGAGAGGAGCCAGCUACCCCAUGCCUGGGAUUGGACACGGCAGACUGCUUGUGCUGAGGUUAGUUAAUGCAGUGCUGCUUCCCUGGAUGUGUCUGAUCUGACUUCCUUUCCUCGGCAGGGUUUGGCAGGUAGAGCACUGCACCAGGACUCGGGCAAGCGGUGAGAAAACUCACUGCUAGAUGACUUAAGGCAGUAAAUAAAUAAUGGUGCUUACCUCCUACACAAAGCACACUGAGUGAAAGUGAGACAUAAGGGGAUUAUUAGAUGGUAUGACUACAUGGAUUUUAAUAAUUAUCACGUUGAAAGCUUUCUGUGGUUGGUCGGGACAGACUCCACCUGCCUGGGCUCUGUCUGCUGGCAGAGGUCAAGCAGCAGGUAUGGAGAGGAGCAGCGAGUCACUCUGCGGAUGAGCUGCCGUAGGCCUUUCAGAGAAGUAUUGCUACAUUUAAAUCGUGG
Long non-coding RNA from Nothoprocta perdicaria, 1375 nucleotides. RefSeq lists it as uncharacterized. The transcript has 5 exons. The record is from RefSeq and is a predicted model, not a curated record. Lineage: Eukaryota; Metazoa; Chordata; Aves; Tinamiformes; Tinamidae.